GACCAUUCUUCGCCACAAACUGUGAAGUCUUGUCAACAAUACUCCUAAUAUCAGGAGGGGGAUAAAUGAUACCAAUAGUUCUCGUAUGUGUUGCAACAGAUGCUGGAACCUUGUCCUUAUUGUUUUCCUCUUCAUUCUCUUCCAUCUUAACAUCAUUUGGUUCCUCUACCACCUGAGCUAGAGGUGUUGGUCCCAGAUUCCCAU
This 204-nucleotide unclassified non-coding RNA is filed under the name Hevea brasiliensis (rubber tree). Lineage: Eukaryota; Viridiplantae; Streptophyta; Magnoliopsida; Malpighiales; Euphorbiaceae. The record is from RNAcentral.